AUGGACACCAGCCACAUGCAGCCUAUCAAGCUGGUCAGGGUCACCAAGCUUCUGGGCAGAAUGGGCUCUAAAGGACAGUGGUCGCAGGUGUGCAUGGAAUUUAUGGAGGAUGCGAGCCGCUCCAUCAUCCACAAUGUAAAAGGCCCCGUGUGCGAGGGCGAUGUGCUCACCCUGUUGCAGUCAGAGUCAGAGGUCGGGAGGUUGCGCU
This 208-nucleotide long non-coding RNA is filed under the name Homo sapiens (human). RNAcentral describes it as "non-protein coding lnc-MRPL55-2:1". The record is from RNAcentral. Lineage: Eukaryota; Metazoa; Chordata; Mammalia; Primates; Hominidae.